Molecule: unclassified non-coding RNA, 330 nt
Filed under: soil metagenome
Description: partial contains 5.8S ribosomal RNA, internal transcribed spacer 2, and large subunit ribosomal RNA
Rfam family: 5.8S ribosomal RNA (bases 1-119)
Source: RNAcentral
GAUGAAGAACGUAGCGAAAUGCGAUAAGUAAUGCGAAUUGCAGAAUCCGUGAGUCAUCGAAUCUUUGAACGCACAUUGCGCCCUCCGGUAUUCCGGAGGGCAUGCCUGUUCGAGCGUCAUUUCACCACUCAAGCCUCGCUUGGUAUUGGGCAACGCGGUCCGCCGCGUGCCUCAAAUCGACCGGCUGGGUCUUCUGUCCCCUAAGCGUUGUGGAAACUAUUCGCUAAAGGGUGUUCGGGAGGCUACGCCGUAAAACAACCCCAUUUCUAAGGUUGACCUCGGAUCAGGUAGGGAUACCCGCUGAACUUAAGCAUAUCAAUAAGCGGAGGA